AACGCGUAGAUAAUCUACCCCAAUAUCUGGGAUAACUACUCGAAAGGGUAGCUAAUACCGGAUACGCUUUAAGUGUAGCGAUACAUUAAAAGGAAAGGUGACCUCUCAGAGAAGUUGCCGUAUAGGGAUGAGUUUGCGUACCAUUAGCUAGUAGGUGGGGUAAUGGCCUACCUAGGCGACGAUGGUUAGCGGGUCUGAGAGGAUGAUCCGUCACACUGGAACUGGAACACGGACCAG
This 237-nucleotide ribosomal RNA is filed under the name uncultured bacterium. RNAcentral describes it as "partial 16S ribosomal RNA". It matches the Rfam family "Bacterial small subunit ribosomal RNA", at positions 112 to 334 of the family's 1533-position model. The record is from RNAcentral.